Non-coding RNA from Pelobates cultripes (western spadefoot toad), 304 nucleotides. NCBI's taxonomy places the organism in Eukaryota, Metazoa, Chordata, Amphibia, Anura, Pelobatidae. The record is from the annotation of a GenBank genome assembly.
UGACUACCUCACUAAUCACCAGACCAGAACGGACAAUUUAUACAGCCUGGACCAGGUGAAAAACUAGACCAUACACUUCACCACUAGACCACAAGGGAUUCAUUAACCCCUCCCUCCCCCCAUCAGGCCACCAAAAUUCAUAUCACUAUGUGUUAUAUAGGUGAGGAGCUCUGUGAUACCAUAUUAGGCACCUUACUGAGAGUUUUACUGUGGAGGAGCUUUUUGAUACACUUAUUGCGAAUUACUGCAAGUUUAAUAAUUGUGGAGCUCUGUGAUUAUAUGAUACACACCACUUGUUACUGUG